CUUUUACUUGAGUAAUAAAUCUCUAAAGUAACAGUACUCUUACUUGAGUACAAUUUCUGGCUACUCUACCCACCUCUGCCCGUGGUGGACCGCUUGCCUGUGCAUCGGCUGGGAACAUCUCUGCGCUGCUGACCCGUCUCCGCUCGGGAUGGUGUCCUGCUGGCCCCACUAUGGACUGGACUCUUACUAUAAUGUCAGACCCACUCGACAUCCAUUGCAUUCGGUCUCCCCUAGAGGGGGGGGUUACCCACAUAUGCGGUCCUCUCCAAGGUUUCUCAUAGUCAUUCACAUUGACGUCCCACUGGGGUGAGUUUUCCCUUGCCCUUAUGUGGGCUUUGUACCGAGGAUGUCAUUGUGGCUUGUGCAGCCCUUUGAGACACUUGUGAUUUAGGGCUAUAUAAAUAAACAUUGCUUGAUUGAUUGAUUGAAACACUUGCAGGAAGCGACGGCGAAGAAGGGCAAAGGGAGGUGUACAAAGGAAUAGGACAGUGAUAUGAGUGACCAGGAAGCGACGGCGAAGAAGGGCAAAGGGAGGUGUACAAAGGGAAUGGACAGUGAGAUGAGUGACCAGGAAGUGAAGAAGAAGAAAACAGGGAAAGGGAAAAGAACCAAGCAAACGCCAGUGAGACCAGUGAGCAUUGAGCAGGAAGAGAACCAACAAGAAGGGGCAGGAGUACACUGACGCGCACGACCAAGACCACAGCAUUCCAUUUCUAUUGUAUUAUAAUUAUCACUAAUAAAGAAUUAUUGUUGAUUUUUCUGUUUGAGUGUCAGUCCUGACAAGAUAGCACAAAAACAGAC
Molecule: non-coding RNA, 801 nt
Organism: Nerophis lumbriciformis (worm pipefish)
Lineage: Eukaryota; Metazoa; Chordata; Actinopteri; Syngnathiformes; Syngnathidae
Source: RefSeq, a predicted model, not a curated record